UAUUAAAAAUAUUCGUCCAUUCGUACAAUUAAAAAUUGAAUGGCUAAUGGAAUAACUAAGCAGUGACACAUGGCAUGCAUGUACCUUAUAUUGAUGUGCAAGACCAAUUUUUAACAGUAGAAAUGAAUGAAAUUUUUAACA
Molecule: microRNA precursor, 141 nt
Organism: Gossypium arboreum
Lineage: Eukaryota; Viridiplantae; Streptophyta; Magnoliopsida; Malvales; Malvaceae
Rfam family: MIR7502 microRNA precursor family
Source: Rfam